This 5150-nucleotide unclassified non-coding RNA is filed under the name Hevea brasiliensis (rubber tree). The record is from RNAcentral. Lineage: Eukaryota; Viridiplantae; Streptophyta; Magnoliopsida; Malpighiales; Euphorbiaceae.
CUAGGAUAUACAUGCUAUGCAUCUAUGUAUGACCCCACAAGUUUUAGAACUGCACGUAUUAAUAACAAGCUUCUCAUGAGCCGCACAUUGUAUAAGCAGCAGAUGGUUAAGAAACAUAAAUUGCCAGGUAUUGGUCCUUAUCUCUUUAAUUUUUCCAACUUGGAUUGAUGUAUUACAACUUCCUAUCAAAAGGUUACAGCAUUCAAUAUGAACAAAUCUACUAGAUUGCAUCAUAUGAUAAAUUGCACUAAGACCACAAAUCGACAAGUUCCUUUUCAUUACUGAUUUGUCAAAAUCAUUCUGGGUGCAAUGCAUUCAGUUCACCAAGUAUGUCCUUUUGUGUGCUCUUACCAUUUCAAGAUGAACUCAUCUUAUGAUUGCAAUGUGGUGGGCUAAUCCAUAUCACUUGCUAUCCUCAUUUCUUCAGCCAAAAGAAAAAUAUCUGCAUCUACAGUAGAAAACAGAGCCAAGUCUUAGUUCAACAUGGCUACAUUCAUUACAAUGCUCAAUCGUCAAUCAGCUCACAGAAACACCACAACAAAAGGCCAACAAUGAAAGAUUUUUGCAUUUUCAUGACCCGUUAUUCUCAAUUUGCGUGUAUAUGUUACAGUUUAAAAUAGUACAAAAAUGACAUAAAAUAGAGGUUAAAAGAAAUAGUAGCCUGAGUAGUGCUAGACAAGGCAGUUAAUCUAUACAUAUAAAAUAAAGUUUUGUUGAUAAAUUUUUGCUUACAUCAGGUCACAGAAACAACGAUCAAAAGUAUAUUCCAAUCUAUAACCAGGCAAAAAAUUACAUAUAUUUAAGUUCAAUCAAAUCAGGUAAACAACAAAUUUAUGCAAUAAGAAUUUUAUGAAGAUUAACUUGCUCUUAUCUCUCUCUCCAGCUCCUGGGCAUCCACAGUUCACAUAUGCAUCUCUACUUCUGACAUGCAUCUGAAGUUUGGGAAGAAGAACUAGAAUACCACUAAAAUGUAAAACUUCAAAAUUGACAAUUAGACUCAGAACUUGGAGGUUCUAAGUGAGUACCGCAACAUUGUUACAACAUGAUCAACUACAUGAGAGAACCAACAUAAUGGGCUCGAGGAUAUUUUCUUUGUAGUUGUGCCCAUUGCACAUAAAACUGAUCAGCUAUUUUCAACUUGUAGAGAAGCAAACCACUUAAGGAGAGCCUUUUCACUCUUGCUAUACUCUCAACAUAAAAAACAGAUGACCACCUAAUUCCUACCACCUUGAACAAAAAUGCAAUGACACAAAGAGGAACACAAGUCCCAGGACCAUUGCAAAGGAUCUAAGAUUUAUAAAAAUAGAAACAGUCAGUAAAUUUUGAGAACAGAUGGAAGAAAAAAAAUGCAAUAUACAAAUAUUAAUUAUACCACUUGGGGUCUUAUUUUAAUCAUCAACCACAAUGCAUGAGCAAUAGCUAUUAAAGUUGUCCCAAUGGAGGUUAUAUAUGACUGACCAACUUCCCUGCUUCUGUAAAUCUGCAUGAACUUUGCAGAGACCACCUUGCCCCCAUUCAUAUCAACUAAUGAGUCCUCCAAAACACGAGCUUUUUGUAGACUCAUAUUAUCAGUGGCAGCUGCCACAUAAACUCUGGGCAUAAACCUAUCCUUCUGCAAUGCAGAUAAGACAUUAAUCAUCUCUGCAGUGUGUCCCCCUACAACAACAACAAUAAAAAGUUACCACAACACCUAAUUCAUGGGAACUAUUGCCACAAAAAACAACCAAUUAAUUGACAAAUUCAUGAGAAUUACAAUAUCUCAAGUUUUUACCUGAACCCAAAACAAUCAAAGUACUUAGUGGCUUUGGGGAUUUAGGGCGCAAGGGUUUGCUGGUUCGAUAAACCACAUAGAUAACGCGAACAAUUGCAAUAAAAAUGAGGCCAAUGAUGAUGAUGAUGAUAGAAAUGGGGAAGCAAGUUUCAUCUUUGCUACCCAUUAGCUAACGUUUAUAAGUAUGCAAUCUAAAAGAAAUAAGAGUUAAUUAUAAUCAGUAAUUUGAGAAUCAAAACUCUUCCAACCAAAUACUAUGUAAAAAAACAAAAGCAGCCAUUGCUUUUUCGUCUGAAUAAAUCAAUCUUCAAUAGGGGUACUCACAGUUAAGUCAAGGCAAUCUUCCAAGCCAAACUAUAAACUUUUAAAAUCCAAACCUGGUUAACUGGUUUUAACUGAUCCAAAACAAGAGUAAGAACGCUCUCCGGUAUCCAGAACAAUAGAAUCAAUAAUCAGAAUUGCAAGCCAUUAAUUGUCCAAACAUUCAUCAAACCCACAAAAACAUUUCUUGGAGGAUUGCUAGUUUCCAUAUGCAGAAAAGGGAGAGAAAAUAAUUAACAUUAGAUUUAAAAAAUGAAAAAUUGGAGAGAGAUGAAAAAAAAAAGCCCAUCAUCAAUUUAUCAUACAUAAACCACAAAGAAUUUGCAGAAGCACAAUCAAUACUUAAUCAUGGUUUCUUAUACAAUUUGAAUUUGUUAAAGUUCCAUUUAAACAACAAAACUAGUGAAAAGGCUCAAGUCUGAUACCAACGCAAUUGCAAAAUUGAUUACAAAAGCUAGCUCCCAUAUUCAUAAGCCAAAAAAAGAAACCGAUUUCCUUUCUGGGCAAUAUAAAUAAAAAGAAAAAGAAAAAACAGGAAACCACAAACAAAAUAGAGAGAUAGGGAGAAACAGAAGUACUGAUUGUAGCGUUUAGCAGGCGGUAAUAACCAACGGAACAGAUCGUACAAUGGACCGAUGGCGAUGAGUGGUGGCCGGUGGGCAGAAUCGAUAGUUGGGAAAUGGAAACUCGCUUACGACAUGGCACAGAAAGAGGGAGAAAAGACGGCGCCGUAGCGGUUAACAAAAUUAAAAAUAAUCGAACCGGACUGUUUUUAGAAUAAGACCAAAGCCGAAGCAUCUAAUUCGGUUCGGUUUUUCGCAUUAUCGUGAUCAAUCGGUCAUUCCCUUGUUCAUCUUUUCGUCAAUUUCUCCAUGAGCAACUUCCAUCUAUUCCAUUAUUGAACUAAUUUACACUGCUGAGAUGAAUCUCCAUUUUGACUCAGUUCGAUGUGUAUACCACUUUUUAGCCAAUUAUCUCUGCACAUGAUCCAUCUAAUGAUGCUUAGAAUUACUGAGAAAAAAAGGGUCUUAAUUAACGGAACCAAAGUGUCUUACAUCAGUUCGUGGGCGGCUAAGGAUACAUGUAAACAUUUGGAACAUGCAUUAUCUUGCACCAAUCUUCUCAUAUUCCCUUCUCACAUCGCUUGGACAGUGCAGGACAUUGUUGAAUGUCCAAAUUCUGCAAUAUAGUAAGCCUCUGAAUGCUCCAUGGAAAAGAUGUCAACUUUGUGCAAUUGAAAAUAUGCAAAGAUUGAAGAGAAGUGAUGUCUCCCAGCCAAUCAGGCAAUGAUACUAGUUCCGGAUGAUAGGAUAUGCUUAAGGAUUCCAGAGCAGGAACAUACUGCAAGUUCUCAGGCAAGACUUGCAACUUUGGGUGAUCAAUGACAAUGGGUUCUCCAAGACUAUGGCACAGAACUAUCUGACGUCGAAAUUUGCAGCCAAUAGGAUCUACUGAUGCAUCAAUCGCUGUGGGUUGGCCUGAUAAGGUUAAAUAUUGGAGGGAGUUAAGGUGCUUUACUCGAUCAGGUAAAGCUACCAGCUCAGGACAUCCACCAAGAGUCAACGUCACAAGCCCAGUGAGGCACUGCAAUCCCUUUGACAAAGAAUUAAGCUUCGAUAGGUUGUGGACUUGCAAACGUUUAAGAAAGCCCAGGCCCUGCAGCCCUUCCUUUGUAAAGGACUCCAACUCAUGGCAAUCGCCAACAUAUAAAUAUUGUAGAGCACUGAGGUUGGCGACGUCUGUGGGUAACCAUUUAAGCUUAGUGAACUUUUCAAUAUAUAAUGAAUUAAGGGAAGUGAGGUUUGGCAGUAUUCUAUGGGAAAGGCAAAUUACCCCAUCAUUAUCUUCAAUAGAAAGGCAAUUUAGGCUUUUUAGAUUUGAGAUUGAGCUUAGUAACAUCUUACUACAAAACCUCACCUCUAAAUCUGUGAGAGAAGAAAGGCAUGGCUAGGUCAAGUUUGGGCAAUUGGUAAUGGAUAACCAAGUAAGACGUGGAAGUAGUUCUAUUCCUUCCUCUGUGGACAGCCUUUCCAAACUUAGCAAAUCAGUGAAUAGUGAGCCUAUUUAACAAUGGAAAAACUCUUGCCAUACCACCACCAUAGAAAUUAUGGUCAAUAUACAAUACAUGAUCCAUUCCACGUAGUACAAGAUAAUGCAGGGAAGGUAGCUGCCCUAAGGGUGGAAUCUGAAAACUGCUCUUACAUCUUAUGAGACUAAUAGAAACAACAUUAUUCAGAAUUUGAGCCCUCAUCAAAUGUGGGAAAAAGGUACCUUUGCAUUCUUCUACUACUAAAUAUUCAAGGUUUGGAUAAGGUUCAAGGGUUUCCAGUACCUUCUCAACACUUGAGUUUCUAUUUCAGCGUCACGUCCCCAGGACAAAGUUAAUUUGCAGAGGUCCUGUUUUCUGAUCAAACUGGCCGCUUUGGCGUCCAUUGGAUUGCCAACUCUUUCAAGGUGUUCGAUAUGCAGAUCUCCUCCAAGGUUUAAGCCUUCCAAUUCAGCCACUUUACAACCCGAAUUCUUAACCACAACGAAAAAACCUCUUUAAACAAGUCAUUUGCCCUAGUUUAGGUGGCAUUUGAGAUAAUGAAGAACAACCAUCAGGUAAAGAUGUCGAAGAUUUUUCAGGUAGCUCAAGCGCUUAGGCAACCCCUGAAGGGCAAAACAGUUCUCUAAUUUCAGCGUCUGUAAAUUAAAUAAGCAAGCAAAGCAACUAAUUUCAUUUGCUGGAAUGUUAUUUGGACAAAAGCAAGUAAAGAAAGAAGGUUGUACGGGUAAUCUUGAUGCUUCUGUAGAACACUCAGCCAGGAUAUCAUGUACCUUAUAAACUGCAUCUUUAAGCUUCCUUAGCCAAUUCUUGAUUGCGUUGUCUUUUAAUUGUUUCUCCUCAGCAUCUUCAAGAACAGCCUGGAUCGUUGAAAGAAUGCUUGAAAAUUUUUCCAUUUCUUUAUGAAUACUCUAGAUCCUCCAGCACAAUUUGAAGAAAAUCCUCAGCCAUUUUCACUUGCAAAUUUAGAAGAACAGAGGAAAAAGGAUUUUGGUUAUAAUGGCAUUGCUU